This 237-nucleotide ribosomal RNA is filed under the name uncultured bacterium. RNAcentral describes it as "partial 16S ribosomal RNA". It matches the Rfam family "Bacterial small subunit ribosomal RNA", at positions 118 to 354 of the family's 1533-position model. The record is from RNAcentral.
UGGGCAAUCUGCCCUUCUCUUCGGAAUAAGCGUUGGAAACGACGUCUAAUGCCGAAUACGACCUCCUUUCGCAUGAUCGGAGGUGGAAAGCUCCGGCGGAGAAGGAUGAGCUCGCGGCCUAUCAGCUAGUUGGUGUGGGUAAUGGCCCACCAAGGCGACGACGGGUAGCCGGCCUGAGAGGGUGACCGGCCACACUGGGACUGAGACACGGCCCAGACUCCUACGGGGAGCAGCAGG